This is an RNA transcript of Paramisgurnus dabryanus, 3289 nucleotides long. It is a transcript of the gene named RAP1 GTPase activating protein 2b, with no coding region annotated. Lineage: Eukaryota; Metazoa; Chordata; Actinopteri; Cypriniformes; Cobitidae. The record is from RefSeq and is a predicted model, not a curated record.
CGGCGGUGAAAGAUGCACACACGCAUAGUCUGUACUGUGAAGACAGCACCUCAUCUCUGGACAGUGAGAUAGUGACGAUGCAGAUUCAGAUGAAGCUGGUGUGAUGUGACGGGAGACACUGAGACUGAGACUAAGCCUGAGCUUCAGCCAUGUCUGAGUUCAGGUCCAGGGUACGCUGUCGGAGAGCAGGUGUCCGUGCCGCCGCGGCUCUCAUCGGACUCCUGCACCGCUCUCGAAAGCGCUGUGAGAGACGGAGACUGACGGAGACGGACGACCAGUGGAAACAGGAGUGUCUGAACAUCUCCAAUGUACCCCUGGCAGACUGCCCUCCUUCUCCCCCAAGAACCGCCCCUCCCGCCAUGAAGUCUACUCAAUUCUUUGACAGUCUGGACAAGAUGGAGCAGGUUUCAGAGGUGGAGGAGUUGAGGUCAAGCCCACAAAAAGUUAAGGAUGACUGCAUUUCAUACCCACCGAUAGACGAGGUUCUGAAGCGGGGUAUGCCGUACCCUCAGGUCAUUAUGCCUCAGUCUGGGGGUUACUGGAUAGAAGAUCCUGAUGCUCCUGCCACCAUUUCAAGCUGGGAGAACGGUUACUGUGAUGAGGAAGAUGAAGAGGGAGGAAAUUCAGAAGAGUUUGGUUACAAGCUGGAAAGUAACUUUGCCAUUCGAGCAUACCGCAAGCACUUUCUGGGCAGGGAACAUCUGAACUUCUACUGCUCAGCCAGUAACCAUGGCAACCUGGUACUGUCCCUCAGACAUGAGGAGGUGAAGGAGCAAGAGUACCUGCACAUCAUCCUCAGGACUCCAUCGAAGACAAUCUAUGACAGGAUCUCCUUAGCGGGUUUAACAGAGCUCCCCAGUGUCCCUCAGUUAGCCAAGCUACUAUGUGAAGAUAUUACAUGUCUGAGAUUUAAUCCAGUGCUGUACCCGAAGGGUUCUCAGUUAAUAGUGAAUUAUGAUGAGCAUGAAUUAAACAACACCUACAAGUUCGGUGUCAUUUAUCAAAAGUUCGGACAGACCUCAGAAGAGGAGUUAUUUGGGAAUAGUGAAGAGACGCCGGCCUUCACUGAGUUCCUCCGAGUACUGGGAGAUUGCGUAGAGCUGCAAGACUUUAAAGGGUUUCGAGGUGGUUUAGAUGUGUCUCACGGUCAGACCGGGUCUCAAUCUGUUUACACUGUGUUUAGAGGACAAGAACUUAUGUUUCACAUCUCCACUAAACUGCCAUAUACAGAAGGAGACACGCAGCAGCUCCAGAGGAAGAGGCACAUUGGGAAUGACAUCGUGGCUGCAGUUUUUCAAGAGGAGGCCACACCUUUUGUGCCCGACAUGAUUGCCUCCAAUUUUCUCCACGCGUACAUCCUCGUGCAGGUGGAGAAUCCUGGAACAGAUGACACCACGUACAAGGUAUCUGUCACAGCUCGUGAAGAUGUGCCACCAUUCGGCCCUCCUCUCCCCAAUCCACCCGUCUUCAAAAAGGGUCCAGAAUUCAGGGAGUUCCUGCUGACCAAGCUGAUCAAUGCAGAGCUGGCGUGCUACAGAUCAAACAGAUUUGCCAAGCUUGAGGAGAGGACACGGACCGAACUGCUAGAUAACCUUCAUAAUGAGGUACACAAGCACACACAGAUGAUGUUGGGACAACCACUCAGUGGAGAUGAAGAGAGGAUGGAGAACGGAGGACAUGGAGGAAUACUGGAGUCGAUCAAGCGAGCAAUGCGCGUGCGCAGUCACUCUAUGGAUACAAUGGUGGGCUCUCAGAAACACAGCCGUUACUCUGCGGCGGGAGGAGGUGUACCCACAAGUUUAAGUGGGGUCGCCCUGACCCACACUAACACUGAUGCUGCUAAAAAUUCGUCUCCAGUGACAUCAAGCGCUAAGUCUCCUCUUAAGAGCCCUGUGAAGAGGCGGUCAGGGCUGUUUCCACGACUUCACACCAGUAUGGAUGGACAGCCUGAGCGUCACACGCGCAGUGUCCUGUGUGACCAAAGAAGUCUAGAUAGCGGUCAUCUAUCACAGGAAGUGAGGUCAGAGACAUUCUCCAAUCCUAGCUCUCCAGAGAUCCUGAGCAAUGAGAGAUCUUCUGUCAAGCUGAAGGAGGGAGGUGGAAGGCCAGACAUCUCUCGUUCCUCCUCCAGCACCAGCAGCUUCAGUAGUGCUGCAGGAGACCCAGAGAUGCUGGAGGAGAAAGAACCUAGCUGCCUCCAGAUGUCUCCCAGCCUCUCACCGGUAUUUGGUUCUCUAAACACUGAGGGUCAAAAUGCAGGAACGCCGGUGAUCAUGUGCCGCAGUCCAACAGAUUUCAGGAGCAAGCCCUCGGCCAGAUCCAGUCUGAAGUUCCGCUUUGACCAGUUGAGCCAAUCGGCUGCUGGGCAUUAACAAACUGAACAUCAAAAGCCAGAAUCAUUAAAACUUUAGAAUACAGCGCCCCCUAAUAAAUCCAGAGGAACAGCACAGAAGAUCAGACACUCCUGGCACUGAAAAGGAGAGAAAUUAAAGAGGAACACAUUACACAAACCUGUGCUCCCAAUCGGACCAUAACAUGAAAAAAGCACAUGAGCAUAAGCACACCUCUGCGUGUUUACAGCAUCUGCAGAUGUUCAGCUGGUACUGACUUGACACACAGUAUAUUGAUCUUGCACAUUCUGUGAAAGUCUUGCACUGUAAAAAUACUCCAAUAUCUUUACAUGGAUUAGCAGUCAUUCUCUAGCUGUGGUCCAGAGAGCAAUGAAACAUAAUUGAAUGAAUUAAGAUUUGCACCUGAAACAUUCCACAUGUAAUGCACAAAGUGGCCAUUUGAUGAAACUGACCACAGCUGAGAUUUGCCUUUAUGUUUAAAUUAACAAAUCAGUCUAAAAUGCACUGGCCAGUCUUUGUAAAAAAGGUUUAUUAAGAAGAUCUGUCCUUUUAACUUGUUCAUAUUAUAUAAAUAUAUAUUAUUAAAAACCUUAUUUGGCUUCACUGGAUAAUUAUGUGGCUUAUGUGUGUGUAAAUAUGAGAAUCUCAUCAAUCACUCUUAUCUGUAUAUAUUUACUGUGAAUAGACAUAGAAGAUAAAAGAAUCUCAGAAAAUUAAACUUGAACAAUUUGAACUUUUAUUGUCACAAAUGAAGUUCAAACAGCUCAAAUGAGACCUCGACAUUUUGUUCUUUCAGUAAAGUAUUUUUUGUUGAUUUACUUUUUAAAUUGUUUAAGCAAAUGAGCAAUGUUAAUUUAUUUUUUUUCUGUUUGUACUGCUACAUGUGUAAAUGUUUCUGAAUGCAUUGUUGAUUUUGGUAAAUAAAAUAUUGUAUUUUG